AUUUCUGAGUUCUGUGUUCGAGUCGCAUCCAUGGUUCUGUUUCCUUUCUUUUCGCGAGUUGAGUCAUCGAGUUCUGUCCGAGUCUUUUUCGUUUUGCUGUGUCGAGUUAGUCGCUAGUUCCGAGUUUUGUGCGAGUCUGUUGUGCUAGUUUCAGUAGCUGGGUUUGUGUGUCUGGCUCCGUUUAGUCGAGUUUUGACCUUCGUUUUGCUUGAAGUUUCGCAGUUUGUGGUUUAAUUUUGCUGCUUUGUCAAGUUUGUAUUUGCAAUUUAAGAUGAGUCUUCGAGUCUGUUUCUGUCUUAAGUCGCAGAGUCGAGAAUCAAGUAGAGUGUCAGUUCGUUUUUGCUGAGUUCGUGCUUUUUUUUUUUCGAAUUCAGAGUCAUUUAGUCAGCUUCGAGUUUGUUGUUUCGUGUUUAUGAGUCACCUCCAGCUGCGUUUUCUGGGUUUUCGUUUGUUUUGAUGGCUUGAAUUUUACCGAGUUAGUGUUUUUGAGCUGAGUUGCUAGCAGGGUUUUAACUGAGUCCGCUUUGUUCCUUUGCUGAGUUAUUUUCCUUCCGAGUCAGUUUUCGAGUCGCCAAUUUGUUUUGCAUCUGAGUCAGCGAGUCAAGCUCUGCAGUAGCAUAGUUUUGUUGGUCCAGUUGUUAUUUGAGUUUUGCGGCUGUGUUUCCUUUUUUUUAGAGUAUGAAUUUGGUUUUGUUUAGUUUUCUUUUUUCUAAGUCAAAUCGCUGAUUAGUUUACUGUAAUGGGUUUGUUUGUUUACAAAAUUAUGUGAUCUUGAGUUGCCGAUUUGUGGGUUUAGGAUUUUGUUAGUCGUUGAGUUUGGAAGUUUGUUAUCGAAGAGUUUUUUUUCCCGAGUGUGUCACCUAUUUUUGUUUAAGUCCGUGUCAAUUUUCAAGAGGUUAUUUGUUCUUUUUUUUUUAAGUAUGUAAUUAGAUUAAGUUACUAAUUUGAAUGAAUUAGGUAAUUAUUAGUCUAUUCUCAGAAUUUCUAAUAUUAAAAAGUUCCCUCCUUUCAAAAUCUUUUGUUCUAAUUCGCCUAGAUUAAAUUUAAGGAUUGCAAAUAAAUUAUUAAUAAUCUCUGUGGACGAAUCUCAAAUAUUAAAACGGUGAUCGUGCGCUUGCGAUUUAAAUGUAUUAUUUAUAGCACAUCAAGUUUUUGGCGCCGCUGCCGGGGAUUAUAAUUAAUUUUUUGCACCUUUAUUUUUAAUCUUUCGGAUUAGUUUGUUUCUCACUUUUUGUUUUUAUUUCGAGGAGGAAUAUUCGGGAAUCAUGAAGUAAAGUGGACAAAUUUUGCUCGGAUUUGGAAGCUUGC
This 1308-nucleotide long non-coding RNA is filed under the name Daucus carota (carrot). RNAcentral describes it as "long non-coding RNA (DCAR_LNC004112)". Lineage: Eukaryota; Viridiplantae; Streptophyta; Magnoliopsida; Apiales; Apiaceae. The record is from RNAcentral.